RNAcentral lists this ribosomal RNA (460 nucleotides) under uncultured bacterium. Its description in RNAcentral is "partial 16S ribosomal RNA". It matches the Rfam family "Bacterial small subunit ribosomal RNA", at positions 338 to 795 of the family's 1533-position model. The record is from RNAcentral.
CCUACGGGUGGCAGCAGUGAGGAAUAUUGGUCAAUGGCCGGAAGGCUGAACCAGCCAUGCCGCGUGAAGGUCAGUGCCCUAUGGGCGUUAAACUUCUUUUGUGCGGGAGCAAUAAUGGUCACGUGUGGCCAGACGAGAGUACCGUACGAAUAAGCAUAGGCUAACUACGUGCCAGCAGCCGCGGUAAUCCGGGGGAUGCAAGCGUUAUCGGGAUGUAAUGGGUUUAAAGGGUGCGUAGGCUGUGAGGUAAGUCAGCGGUGAAAUGCCGCCGCUCAACGGGGUGAAGGGCCAUUGAUACUGGCUUGCGGGAAUGCGGAUGCGGUGGGAGGAAUGUGUGGUGUAGCGGUGAAAUGCAUAGAUAUCACACAGAACACCGAUUGCGAAGGCAUCUCACGAAUCCGCGAUUGACGCUGAUGAACGAAAGCGUGGGUAUCAAACAGGAUUAGAUACCCCAGUAGUC